GACGAACCGAGCGAACGUUGUUCGGAAUCACUGGGCUUAAAGGGCGCGUAGGCGGGGUCAUAAGUCUGUGGUGAAAUCCUCCGGCUCAACCGGAGAACUGCCUCGGAUUCUGUGGCUCUCGAGGGUGGUAGGGGUAUGCGGAACUAUCGGUGGAGCGGUGAAAUGCGUUGAUAUCGAUAGGAACUCCGGUGGCGAAGGCGGCAUACUGGACCACUUCUGACGCUGAGGCGCGAAAGCCAGGGGAGCAAACGGG
This 253-nucleotide ribosomal RNA is filed under the name uncultured bacterium. RNAcentral describes it as "partial 16S ribosomal RNA". It matches the Rfam family "Bacterial small subunit ribosomal RNA", at positions 524 to 776 of the family's 1533-position model. The record is from RNAcentral.